Salvia miltiorrhiza (redroot sage) is the source of this 749-nucleotide long non-coding RNA. RefSeq lists it as uncharacterized. NCBI's taxonomy places the organism in Eukaryota, Viridiplantae, Streptophyta, Magnoliopsida, Lamiales, Lamiaceae. The transcript is spliced from 3 exons. The record is from RefSeq and is a predicted model, not a curated record.
UAAUUAUUUAGCGAAUACUAAACGAUUUUUACAAUUUCGAUAAUUAUAUCAUGAGGAUUUUAAUUGUCCAAUCAAUGCUUUGACUCAACCCUACCCUAUACUCCUACAAGCCACCCUAUGCCUACCCCUAAUUUGAGGCCAUGCCUGCAGAAUCAAAAUAUCGACCACAUCAAAAAUAUCUACCACAUAUCAAGUUACACUCCAGCCAAUUCACCAUUCUCAUGAAUUACACUCUCCUCAAUUAUUUUCCAUGCUUUCUCUAUCUGUCGAAAGAAGAAAUGAAAAAAACUCGAAGUGAUGGACUUUACCAUUUUGAUUCAAUAGACCCAGCAGCCAACCCAAAUCAAAACGACAGCCACGCUCAUCAUCCACCCAAGGCUUUGUGGACCAAGGGGAUUAGCACUGCUUUCCCAAGAUGAGUUUAUGUGAUUAUGAUCUUCAGGCUUUGCCUAUCCAGGUUGGCUGGCUGGUGAUGACGGGACUGAGCUGAGGCUAGAGUUAAAUUCCUAUGUUAGACUUCCGCUGUAGCAAUUACUCAUAUCAGUCUUUUGUUUUCCCAACUUAAGAUCUUCAUGUAAAAUUUCAAACGAUAUACUUGACCGAGCUUAGACUCUUCACUACUGAAUUUAUGCUAAUGAAUGUCGGUUGUCAGAAGCAUGAAACAAAACUUGUGAUCCAAAGGGGCAUUGCCCGAAUUUCAAAUCCUAUUUCGGUUAUAACAAGGUUUUCCCUUGUUUAUGUCUAUGAAU